UCUCCGUAGGUGAACCUGCGGAGGGAUCAUUACAGAGUUCAUGCCCUAACGGGUAGAUCUCCCACCCUAUGUUAUUAUUGCUUUGUUGCUUUGGCGGGCCGUUAGGCUCCGGCCCGACUACCGGCCCCGGCUGGUAAGCGCCCGCCAGAGGACCCAAAACCCUGAAUAUUAGUGUCGUCUGAGUACUAUAUAAUAGUUAAAACUUUCAACAACGGAUCUCUUGGUUCUG
This 229-nucleotide unclassified non-coding RNA is filed under the name plant metagenome. RNAcentral's name for it is "partial contains small subunit ribosomal RNA, internal transcribed spacer 1, and 5.8S ribosomal RNA". The record is from RNAcentral.